GGACUACUGGGGUAUCUAAUCCGGUUCGCUCCCCACGCUUUCGCGCCUCAGCGUCAGUUAGAGCCCAGCGAGCCGCCUUCGCCACUGGUGUUCCUCCGGAUCUCUACGCAUUUCACCACUACACCCGGAAUUCCACUCGCCUCUGCUCCACUCCAGCACGCCAGUCCCCACGGCCCUCGCCUAGUUAAGCCAGGCGCUUUCACCAUGGACUUAGCGCACCGCCUGCGCGCCCUUUACGCCCAAUAACUCCGGACAACGCUUGCCACCUACGUCUUACCGCGGCGGCUGGCAC
RNAcentral lists this ribosomal RNA (292 nucleotides) under uncultured bacterium. RNAcentral describes it as "partial 16S ribosomal RNA". The record is from RNAcentral.